AGCUGAACAAGCUAAGGGCACACCUGGUUUCUUAAUGCAAACCCUUUAGUUCAAUAUCCAAGAAUGAAAGCCAGUUAAAAAGUCCAACAUGGCUCCCUCUUAGGGGAGGUGAUUGCUGACUCUGGGCAUGAUAGAGUAAUAUCACCUGUUGCAUUCUUGUUGAACAUUUAUUAACCUGAGACCAAGGAGCUCAGAAUUUCUGCGAAAGUUUCUUCUGAAUGGGGACGAAAGACAGAUGUGGCAGAGUUAAACCAUUUUUAAGCAAAGACCCUCCAGAAAUAAUACAAAAUUUGUAAGAAAACAACGGAGCAAACUUGUUCAGAAUGUCAGCUCAACCAGCAAAGAAACAAAAUGUUCAAAUGAAGGGAGCAGCGGCAGAGAUUUUCAAGAAUCAUGGAGUGAAAGAUUUGGCAUGAUCAAAAAGGGUGAUAAAGUAUUAUGCAUCUUAUGUUCUGAAACAGUGGUAUGCAGGACUUCCUCCGUAAAGCAGCAUUAUGGAAGUGUUCAUUAAUGGCUUUGCAAUAAAACCCUCCAGAUGUUCAUGGACUCCAACUGCCAGCAGCCCCAGCCACCAUGGCCAAUGCCAGGGAGAAUGGAAAUUGUAAUGUGAUUUGGCAUGAUAAUGCAAAGAAAUGGAAGCUACUUUAUAAAAAACCCUGAAUUGGCAUUUAUUGCCAAUAGCGAACAUUGAUCCCUUAAGAAGUGGUAUCAGAAGGGAGUUCGAUGGAGUGAAAAUUGAACUGGUACUGAAAUGCGGAUCCCAUCCCUGCUUUUGGAUAUAUGAUUUCUUCCUAGUUCAAGGUUCAAUGGUUGUUUCUGAGUGGCAACUUCUGGUUUGGCUUAUUAUCACAACAUGUACAAGGAAAAGACAAAACAGGUACUUCGGAAAAGGAGAAAUGCUUUUAACCCACCCUGGAUCUUAUCAACAAACUGCAGAGCCUGCUCUGCCCUGACUCCAUAUGUAUUAAUGCCCAAAGCAUUGAGGUGGAAUGUAUAUAUUCACAUUUGAUCUCCUUCCAAAAUGUCACAGAUUCAUUGCCAUAAACAUAACAGGAAGACUCGGGGGGGGGAUGUCACCACACUAUGGUGUGGGGUAAAAACCAGAAAGAAAAUUCAGUUACAAAAUCUUUCACCUUCUCCAGCUCCUUUGACUCUUAAGGUGCUUCCAGACUGCCACAAUUUUGCAGGUAGGAUUCAAUCACAAACCUGAAAAGGCUUCACAAUUAAUGUAGAUUUGGGGCUGUUGUGCUACAAACCCACUGCCCCCAAAAUAAAGCAUUUUGUAUUAAGGAAACUGAUGAAACAAUGCACUGGAAAGUGUGGGAAAACAAUUGUAUGAUGUGACAAAUGAAACAAAUCAGAAUGAGCUCAAUUAACAGUCAACAUCAUAUAGCCUCCCUGCAAACUCAAAUCAACAGGAAUGCUUAAUAAACAGGUCACCUGGAAGCAAGGAUGUGCUAGAAUUCCGCCCAAUUGUGAUUCUGUACUAAUUUUUUUCAUUAAUUUGCUUAUUCUGAAUAGCUGAGGAUCGGAUUUUAAUGUUGCAAAUUUCUACAGCUAAUUUUGAAAAUAGGCUUUUUAAAAAAGACACCUCUAAAAUAUUUGUUUCAAGAAUUAUAAUUUAUUGAUAUUUCUUUUAAAAAUAGCGAUACUUUUCCUUUAAAAAUAUCAAUAUUAAGAUUGAUUAUUUUUCUGAGCAAACAAAACACGGAUAGGUAAAGCAGCGGCUUGCAGAUAAAAAAUGAACUCGAAUCGAUAGUCGAUGGAAUGCUUUCAAACUGGCACUGGCCAACGGAUCCCAUUCCUAAGUAGAAGCAACUCAUUACACAGAACUCAUUCCAUUUUCACCUUAUCUGCCCCACUUCCAUGUAUGAGCAGACAAAAGGCCUAAUCUGACUACUGAAUAUCUCCAUGUGAUUAUGUGGGCACAUGAUUGCAUGGAAAAAGUCUAGUGCUGAUGUGGGUGCAUGGAGGGGUCUGUCAGUUAUCUCCAUGAUUUCAGCUGCUGGAAAACCCUGAUAAUGAUGGCAAGUGGGGUAGCUCCUGGUUCAUCACACACAAUCAUCUUCAUACAAACAUUUUAUCUACUUAGAUGUGGACCUGCCUUCACAAUCAUAUGGAUAAACUCCCUUGUAAUGUGCCCCUUAAUCCAACCAUUCUGUGUCUUCCUUAGGAUUGUUAUUUAAUGCCUGGAGUGCUUACAGUAACAAGGUGGAGUACAAAAGAACAAAAUAUUGAAACAGGUCCUUACCUCUGGGAUACAAUCUCAGUGACUAAAUUCACAAAAAAAAGGGAGUGGACAGAAAAGAUAAAGGAGGGGAGAGAGGUUUAAGAAGGACAGAUAUGAAGAAUUAGUUUUUAAAGAGCCAUUUAAACAUGGCCAUGGAAGGUGAGAUACAAAUGCCAGAAGGUAUAGGACUGCAGUGUUGGGGGCCAGCACAGGAGAACAAUGAAGCUGAGAGAUGGAGGUUUCCAGUUGACCUUUGUGGGGAUGGGGGCAGCGUCUCUCCCACUCAACUCUCCUUUGAAA
Rhineura floridana is the source of this 2530-nucleotide long non-coding RNA. RefSeq lists it as uncharacterized. The transcript has 6 exons. NCBI's taxonomy places the organism in Eukaryota, Metazoa, Chordata, Lepidosauria, Squamata, Rhineuridae. The record is from RefSeq and is a predicted model, not a curated record.